Molecule: non-coding RNA, 75 nt
Organism: Podarcis lilfordi (Lilford's wall lizard)
Lineage: Eukaryota; Metazoa; Chordata; Lepidosauria; Squamata; Lacertidae
Source: the annotation of a GenBank genome assembly
UGCUGGGAUAGUUCAGUCGGUAAAGCCUGAGACUCUAAAUUUCAGGGUCUUGGGUUCAAACUCCAUAUUGGGCAA